AAAAAUGCUGCUAAUUAGGAAGAUGACUGUGGGUCCCUGCUGAGGGAGAGCUCACAAAGACCUGUUGUCUCCACAGGAUCAGCUCCUUAUUAAGAUGUGGCAGAUCUAAUCUGUAAAGACCCUGCAUUGUUGAGAGGCCACCACUUCUCUCCAAGAGGCUGAGGAUACUGAGGGGAAGCUGUGAGGAAGCCCUGGCCCUCUGAUUCCCUGGCUGAAGAGGGGAAGAUGAUGCUGGAGCUUUCUCCAUUCAAUCAGCUGAAUUUCCACCCCUACAGCUGGAUUUUGAUCCUAUGGUUCAGGCUGAAGUUUUCCUUACUUCUGCAGAGACUGCCCUAACCAACAUCAGCAGAACCACCUGAGCCAUCAGCCUCACCCAGCGGGGAGAAUGAUCACGCGCCGUCUUGUCGGGUUUGUCGUGAAGGGUGACGUCCCCAGUGACCUGGUGCUUAGCUUCCAGAGGAGGCCAACGGCCUUGCCAUCCAGGUGCAGGGAUUCCCAGAAGGUUUUUCAUGGAUGUCAGAGAGGAAAAAACCUGGCAGCAGAACCCUGGAUACAGCUGGGACUGGAUCACAGGCAAGAACCACUCCAAUCCCCCCUCUCACCCACGCGAGAUGUGAUGUGGGGGGAGCUGUGUCUCGUGUUGAGCAGAGACAUCCUGUUCUCUGUUUCUGAUGUGCUGGAUCUUUAAAACGCACAAUGUUGUAUCUACCACUGAAUUAAGCAGUGUUUGCUUUUCAAACCUUCCACAUUUGUAUUUUUAGCUCCAUUUUGGCAUUCACUUUCUUGGUUGGAAUAUAUAACGCACUCGGUUGUUU
RNAcentral lists this long non-coding RNA (815 nucleotides) under Athene cunicularia (burrowing owl). RNAcentral describes it as "lncRNA (ENSACUG00000002040.1)". Lineage: Eukaryota; Metazoa; Chordata; Aves; Strigiformes; Strigidae. The record is from RNAcentral.